This 2136-nucleotide ribosomal RNA is filed under the name bioreactor metagenome. RNAcentral describes it as "bacterial LSU rRNA". It matches the Rfam family "Bacterial large subunit ribosomal RNA", at positions 1 to 2142 of the family's 2925-position model. The record is from RNAcentral.
GAAAGUAAUUAAGAGCGCAUGGCGGAUGCCUUGGCUCUCGGAGGCGAAGAAGGACGUGACAAGCUGCGAUAAGCUGCGGGGAGGAGCAAAUAUCCAUUAUAUCCGCAGGUUUCCGAAUGGGGCAACCCAUCACGUUGAAGGCGUGAUAUCCUGAGCAAUCAGGAGGCGAACCCGGGGAACUGAAACAUCUUAGUACCCGGAGGAAAAGAAAACAAUAGUGAUUCCCCAAGUAGUGGCGAUCGAACGGGGAAUAGCCCAAACCGUGAUUGUUUCGGCAAUCACGGGGUUGCAGGACCACGACAAUCAAGACCAGUCAGAAGCGGAAGUUUUCUGGAAAGUAAUACCGCAGGGGGUGAUAGUCCCGUACGCGUAUCGACUGGUGGCGAUAGUGGUAUCCUGAGUAGGUCGGGACACGAGGAAUCCUGACUGAAUCUGCCAGGACCAUCUGGUAAGGCUAAAUACUUCCGAGAGACCGAUAGUGUACCAGUACCGUGAGGGAAAGGUGAAAAGCACCCCGAACAGGGGAGUGAAAUAGUACCUGAAACCGUGCGCUUACAAGCGGUCGGAGUCCCGGUAUUUAUCGGGAUGACGGCGUGCCUUUUGCAUAAUGAGCCUACGAGUUACACUUCACUAGCGAGGUUAAGACCUUCAGGGUUGGAGCCGAAGCGAAAGCGAGUCUGAAUAGGGCGUAUAGUUAGUGGAGGUAGACGCGAAACUUUGUGAUCUAUCCUUGGUCAGGCUGAAGUUCCGGUAAAACGGGAUGGAGGGCCGAACCAGUAGACGUUGAAAAGUCUUUGGAUGAACUGAGGAUAGGGGUGAAAGGCUAAUCAAACUGAGAAAUAGCUCGUACUCCCCGAAAUGCAUUUAGGUGCAGCCUCGGACGGAGUCUUGCAGAGGUAGAGCUACUGAUAAGGCUAGAGGGCUUCACCGCCUAUCGAUCCUUGACAAACUCCGAAUGCUGCAAGAUGCUCUCCGGGAGUGAGCCUGCGGGUGCUAAGGUCCGUGGACGAGAGGGAAAGAACCCAGAUCAUCAGCUAAGGUCCCUAAAUAUAUGCUAAGUUGAAUUAACGAAGUGCGACUGCUUAGACAGCUAGGAUGUUGGCUUGGAAGCAGCCAUUCAUUUAAAGAGUGCGUAACAGCUCACUAGUCGAGCGGUUGUGCGUGGAUAAUAAACGGGCAUAAGCAUAUUACCGAAGCUAUGGACUCAUCCCGAGAAAUCGGGAUGAUUGGUAGGGGAGCAUUCCAGUCGGCGUGGAAGAAGUGUCGCGAGGCAUUUUGGAGCGUCUGGAAAAGAAGAUGUAGGCAUAAGUAACGAUAAGGCAGGCGAGAAACCUGCCCACCGAAAGACUAAGGUUUCCUGAUCAACGCUAAUCGGAUCAGGGUUAGUCGGGUCCUAAGGGUAAGCCGCGUGGCGAUCCUAAUGGACAACUGGUUAAUAUUCCAGUACCACCGUUUACCGCGACGGGGCGACGGAGGAGUGAAAGAUCCGCGUACUGACGGAAUAGUACGUUAAAGGGUGUAGUUAUACCUUUUGGUUAACAGCUAAUAGGUGAUGAACCUGAUAGUACCAUGAGCCUUCGGGCGAGUGGAUAGUGAUCCUAAUCAUACUUCCAAGAAAACCCUCUAAGCAUCAAGUAAAUGGUGCCCGUACCACAAACCGACACAGGUAGUCGAGGAGAGAAUCCUAAGGUGCUCGAGUGAUCCGUGGCUAAGGAACUAGGCAAAUUAGACCUGUAACUUUGGAAUAAAGGUCUCCCUGAGAGAUCAGGGACGCAGAUAAACGGCCCAGGCGACUGUUUAGCAAAAACACAUGGCUUUGCGAAAUCGAAAGAUGAAGUAUAAGGCCUGACACCUGCCCGGUGCCGGAAGGUUAAGAGGGGAUGUUAUCGCAAGAGAAGCAUUGAAUUGAAGCCCCGGUAAACGGCGGCCGUAACUAUAACGGUCCUAAGGUAGCGAAAUUCCUUGUCGGGUAAGUUCCGACCUGCACGAAUGGUGUAACGAUCUGGGCACUGUCUCAGCCACGAGCUCGGUGAAAUUGUAGUUCCGGUGAAGAUGCCGGAUACCCGCAACGGGACGGAAAGACCCCGUGAACCUUUACUAUAGCUUAACAUUGAUUUUGGGUAAGUGAUGUGUAGG